CCGCUCCUCCACGCGGCUUCCUGGGCCCUGACUCCCACACCUGCCCCGCACAGCCCCCGCCUGGAACAGCAGAGCCAAACCGGACAAGCCGAGGGGACCACGAGGGGACCACGUGCAGUCACUCCCCCGGAGGGGCUCAGAGCUGCGGGAGGCCAGGCAGUGACCGCAGCCCGAGAAGGGCUGAGAUGGACAGCGGAGGCGAGCACUGACCCCAGGCCCAGGCCGCGGGAGGCUGCCGGCCACUUCCCCGGGACGCCCCUCCCCAGGCGCAGGCUCGGCGGGGCGGGCUCCCGCCUCCCGGGGUGCCAGGUGGGCUCGCCCCACCCAGGGCCCCGAGGAGGGCACCGCACCUGCGCCGGCCCUCAGGCAGGCCCUGGUCCAGUCGGUGGUCAGCAGGACCUGGCUGGGCGCCGGGCGAGAGGCGGCCGCACGCCGGCCUGGGCUCUGGGGGACCCGGCCCGGCCGGCCCCGUGCAGCGGCGCUGGGCCCCGCACGCGAGCGUGGGCGCCCACCCUGGGCCAAGGGACCGCGCCCCCGCACCACGCGCCCCCGCGCGCCAGUGCCCACUCGCUCCCGGCGUGCUUGCGCGCGCUCACGUGUGUCCGCACGCACGCGCGCGCGGUCUCGCGACCAGGCCAGCCGCGGGACCCAGGGCCGGCCCGCCACCACCCCUCAGGCUCCUUGUCCGGGUCCCCGCGGGCGCCGUCCGGCCGGCUGCGGGGGUCGCGCAGUCCCCACGCCCGGCCCAGGCCGUCGCUCCACGGGGAGCGAACGCGCGGCGAGCUCGCGGUCGCGGCGUUUGGGCCUCGCCGGCCGCCGUCCGCCCGCUUCCGGCCGCGGGACACGCCGGGACGCGUAGUCCGCGGGGCCUGGGCAGCGCCCAGGGUCACGGACCCGGCCGGGCUGGGCGCUCCCAGCGGCGGGGUGGGCGUCCCGUGCUGUGUGGGUGCCGGGCGCCGGUCCCCGCACCGCCCCUCGGGCUGGGGGCGCACGGACGCACCCGAGAGCCGCGGAGUGGGUGAGAUGCUGCGGCGGGGUUCGCGGCGGGAGGCCCGGGGCGUGGCCCGAGGGGCGUGGCCCGAGGGGCGGGAGGGCGUGGCCCGAGGGGCGGAAGGGCGUGGCUCUAGGGGGCGGGGCUGGAGGGCGUGUCCCGAGGGGGCGGGUCUGAGUCGCAGGGCAAGUGAAGGCUGUGGAGGUCUCGAGUGGGCGUGGCGUGAUGGGGGCGUGGUCCAAUGGGGCGGGGCGGGGGCUGGGCAGGUGGCCGCAGGGGUGGUCCCGGGAUGGGGCCUCGAGUGGGCGUGGUGCGGCGGGGGCGUGGUCCCGUUGGGGGCGUGGCAGGGGCGAGGCCGCGCCGGUGGCGGGGCGGGGUCCUGGGCAGGUGGCCUCCGCCCAGGUCUGGGAGCGCCCACCUGUUGGGGUGACCCGGAUGGCUGCCCUGAGUGUCGCGCCUCCCCCUGGACGCUGGGGCCCUCCGGGGCGCAGACUCGUCUGGCUCCACGCUGCCCCACUGUGUGGGCAGUGGCCGCGCGGACUUGGACGCCACCUUCCGAGGAAGGGCUCCGAGUCCCGGUCCCCGUGUCUGCAGCGCGUGGGACUCCUGUGGCUGGGCAGGCCUCGCUGGACAGCGCAGGGAGUAGACGUGGCUGUGGGCCCGGCCGGUGCCGCUCCUCCCCUCCCCAUCCUGCCGGCCCAGCUGGCCCCAGGUCACCUGUCCCUGGCUCACCUCCCUGCUGCUGUCCCCCGGUGUUUCCUGGCAGGACUGUGAGAGGCUGGUACACCUGGGAGACUUCCUGGAGGAGGUGGCGCUUUAGGUGCCAUUUCCGUCGUCACCGUUUUCUGCAAAUUCCCUCUAAGUCCGCCAUCCUCCGGGAGCUGUGGAGUAAUCGCUGCCGAAGUGGGAGGGGCGGUGGGCUCAGCCGCGGCUUGGAAUCCGCGCGGCGCCCGGCUGCCCCGCACCUGCGUGUGGCCGCGUGGCCGCCCCAUCGCGCGUCUCCGCCUCCUCCCCUGCUCCCCUGACGCCCGUGGUUUUCAGUGGGCAGAUCCGACGCCUCCCUUGGGCUUAUUCCCCGGGGUGAAGAGGAAGUCUCGGUGAGGUCCUGGAUUUCAGAACUGGCCGUGAUUUGAGACUUAGCGAGCGGUUACCGGAGGAACGGGAGACGCGUAGACACUGUACCCGGUUUCCGAACGCCGGCGUCCGUGUCCUCUCUGUGCCUUUGCUCUUUGGGCUUCCUCUGAGGCCUUCGGCGGCGAGCGACACGCGCGGUGCCGCCCCAGCCCCAGCGCACGGCCCGAGCCAGGGCACGUGACACGGGGCGCGGGGGGGGGGGGUGCUGUUGCCGGAGAAGCACCUCACUGCUGUCGCUGGCUCAGCGCUCGGGAGCUGGGCGGCUUCUUUUCUCCUGCCAGCGCGCGGCUCCAGGUUGCUGGGGGUUUUUGGGGAUUUUGCCUUUUCAGCCCCCUCCGGGGCAAAAACCCCGCAGCGGAGCUCCUCUCCCCCCGCCCCUGGGGGUCCCGGCCCCCCCCCCCCCCCCCGGGGUCUUCUCAGCGAGUCCCCGGGCACAGGCGCCCCCUGCGGUCAGUUCUGUCUGCACUGGUGACUGGCCCGCGUCUGGGGGAGGCACUUGGACAGGAGGCCGGCCUGCUGUCCCCGGUGUGCCCACUCCCGCCCACGCCCUCCUACCCGAGCUUGCCAUUAAGCCCUCCCUCCGCCCGGCACUGAGGGCUGGCGUGCCCUCCCUUCCUUCUCCUAGGUAUUUGCGUGCGCCAAUGGGUUUCUAUUUUAUUCGGAAGGUGUGGUUCUUGCUACCAUGCCUGCUUUUGUGUUCAGAUCGCUCCAGCCUUGCCCGGGGAGCCCUCUCUCGCUCUGCUUCCUGGGGACGCGUGCCCGCCCCAUCCAAGCCCUGGCAAGAUGCCCCAGGCGGAGCUGUCACUCUGCCACAGGCAGCCCGGAACCAGCGUUUCUCCAGGUGCCUUCGUUGCUCUGAGUUCUUUCUGGCGAAGAAUGAUAUUUAGGAGG
Long non-coding RNA from Oryctolagus cuniculus (rabbit), 3016 nucleotides. Lineage: Eukaryota; Metazoa; Chordata; Mammalia; Lagomorpha; Leporidae. The record is from Ensembl.